UAGCACCUCAAAUUUGCACCUACCAUUAUACAUACAUUUUCAUAUUAGGUCAUAGCAUAUCAUGAUCCAUUGCAUAGCAUUUGCAUUGUCCCUCAGUUGCCUCAAGAGCAAGCAAUCAAGAAUUAGGUCAAACUAAUCUCCUGAUCAGUCAACCAAGCAAGCAAAAGAAUUUCUCAUUGAAUCAAGGCCUUGGGGUUUGUCC
Molecule: long non-coding RNA, 202 nt
Filed under: Lathyrus oleraceus (garden pea)
Lineage: Eukaryota; Viridiplantae; Streptophyta; Magnoliopsida; Fabales; Fabaceae
Description: Pisum sativum (pea) long non-coding RNA (PSAT_LNC025843)
Source: RNAcentral